AACGAACGCUGGCGGCAGGCCUAAUACAUGCAAGUCGAGGGGCCCGUAAGGGCACCGGCGCACGGGUGCGUAACGCGUGGGAAUAUACCCUUCACUACGGAACAACGUCGGGAUACUGACGCUAAUACCGUAUGAUGACUCCGGUCCAAAGAUUUAUCGGUGAAGGAUUAGCCCGCGUCUGAUUAGCUAGUUGGUGAGGUAACGGCUCACCAAGGCGACGAUCAGUAGCUGGUCUGAGAGGAUGAUCAGCCACACUGGGACUGAGACACGGCCCAGACUCCUACGGGAGGCAGCAGUAAGGAAUAUUGGACAAUGGAGGAAACUCUGAUCCAGCCAUGCCGCGUGAGUGAAGAAGGCCUUCGGGUUGUAAAGCUCUUUUAAUCGUGAAGAUAAUGACGGUAGCGAUAGAAAAAGCUCCGGCUAAAUUCGUGCCAGCAGCCGCAGUAA
Molecule: ribosomal RNA, 447 nt
Filed under: uncultured bacterium
Lineage: Bacteria
Description: partial 16S ribosomal RNA
Rfam family: Bacterial small subunit ribosomal RNA
Source: RNAcentral